GGACUUGAGCGAGCCAGUUGCCGGAUUAUUCUAUUUCCCCUCCCUCUCUCCCGCCCCGUAUCUCUUUUCACCCUUCUCCCACCCUCGCUCGCGUAGCCAUGGCGGAGCCGUCGGCGGCCACUCAGUCCCAUUCCAUCUCCUCGUCGUCCUUCGGAGCCGAGCCGUCCGCGCCCGGCGGCGGCGGGAGCCCAGGAGCCUGCCCCGCCCUGGGGACGAAGAGCUGCAGCUCCUCCUGUGCGGAUUCCUUUGUUUCUUCCUCUUCCUCUCAGCCUGUAUCUCUAUUUUCGACCUCACAAGGUACUGACUUGGGCAACAGCAGUGACUACAAGUGCCAUACUGACCAAUUGGAAGAGUCUUUGCUUAAAAGGCUUAUUAGUUUUUAGUCUUCAUUCUAUUUAAUGUUUUCAUGCCUUUAUAAACUUUUUACUUCCAGCCCAAUUUUUCCCAUUGUCUUGGCACAGGUCAGCUGUGUCCAAGUU
RNAcentral lists this small RNA (479 nucleotides) under Pan troglodytes (chimpanzee). RNAcentral's name for it is "processed transcript". Lineage: Eukaryota; Metazoa; Chordata; Mammalia; Primates; Hominidae. The record is from RNAcentral.